Nelumbo nucifera (sacred lotus) is the source of this 650-nucleotide long non-coding RNA. RefSeq lists it as uncharacterized. Lineage: Eukaryota; Viridiplantae; Streptophyta; Magnoliopsida; Proteales; Nelumbonaceae. The record is from RefSeq and is a predicted model, not a curated record.
UCACAGUACUAGACUACAUACAGAGAGGCAAAUAAUUGAAGUACUUACUGGUUCUGUCUUAUUAAAAUUGUUAGUAUAAAAUAUAGGUUGUGAGAGAGCAGGGGUUGUCAUUCCUGUGUGCAUUUGGGUGUUUGAAGGAAGAGAAGAUGGCGAGGAAGGAAACUUUGGUGAUUGUUCUCUCCUGGUUUCUGAUAGCAGCAUUCCUCGUUGCGAGUGCUACUGCAAGUGGACGAUUGGGGACGAUAGAUCACGUGGUUCAACAUCAAGCUUGUCGUUGCUGCUUGUUCGACUGGGGGCCUCCUCUUAUCAAGUGCGUGAAAGCAUGCUGUGGACAUGGCUGCAAGUGCACAUGAAGCAUCAUCACAAAGACUUUAAGAGUGAAAAACCAAUAAAAAGUGUUCAAGAGUAGAUCUAUCUAGCAGCACCCUUAAUAAAAUCUUGUGCAAUAUCACUUCCUAGGCUGAAAAUGGCCAGGACAUGACUGGUACGUCUGGGUAGGGAACUUGUAUUUACACGGUCAGAAGUAGGCCAAGUGAUUUGAACCUUUUUUUCCUUUUCUUUUCUUUUUUUCUGAUAAGCAAGAGUCCUCAUGAAGCUUCCUUCUCUGCAACUGCAAAUCAAGUUAUUUGAACUUUGAUAUGUUAUAAUUA